This 250-nucleotide ribosomal RNA is filed under the name uncultured bacterium. Its description in RNAcentral is "partial 16S ribosomal RNA". It matches the Rfam family "Bacterial small subunit ribosomal RNA", at positions 90 to 339 of the family's 1533-position model. The record is from RNAcentral.
GUCGAGCGGCGAACGGGUGAGUAACACGUGAGUAACCUGCCUUUUAGUUGGGGACAACUGGCCUAACGGCCAGCUAAUACCGAAUAGUGCCUUCUGUCGCAUGACAGGAUGGCGAAAGGCUUCGGCCGCUAAGAGAUGGACUCGCGUCCCAUUAGUUAGUUGGCGGGGUAAAGGCCCACCAAGACAUCGAUGGGUAGCCGGCCUGAGAGGGUGAUCGGCCACAUUGGGACUGAGAUACGGCCCAGACUCC